This 164-nucleotide small nuclear RNA is filed under the name Aotus nancymaae (Ma's night monkey). RNAcentral's name for it is "U1 spliceosomal RNA (ENSANAG00000007799.1)". It matches the Rfam family "U1 spliceosomal RNA". Rfam says of the family: U1 is a small nuclear RNA (snRNA) component of the spliceosome (involved in pre-mRNA splicing). Its 5' end forms complementary base pairs with the 5' splice junction, thus defining the 5' donor site of an intron. There are significant differences in sequence and secondary structure between metazoan and yeast U1 snRNAs, the latter being much longer (568 nucleotides as compared to 164 nucleotides in human). The record is from Rfam by way of RNAcentral. Lineage: Eukaryota; Metazoa; Chordata; Mammalia; Primates; Aotidae.
AUACUUACCUGGCAGGGGAGAUACCAUGAUCAUGAAGGUGGUUUUCCCAGAGCGAGGUUUAUCCAUUGCACUCUGGAUGUGCUGACCUCUGUGAUUUCUCCAAAUGUGGGAAACUCAAUUGCAUAAUUUGUGGUAGUGAGGGAUUACCUUCGUGCUUUCUCCUG